RNAcentral lists this ribosomal RNA (117 nucleotides) under uncultured bacterium. Its description in RNAcentral is "partial 16S ribosomal RNA". The record is from RNAcentral.
CCGCCCGUCACACCCAUGGAAGUGUAGUUGCGACCAGAAGCAAGGUAGCCUGACCGCAAGGAGGGCGCCUACCACGGUGUGGUCCAUGACUGGGGGUGAAGUCGUAACAAGGUACCC